RNAcentral lists this ribosomal RNA (433 nucleotides) under uncultured bacterium. Its description in RNAcentral is "partial 16S ribosomal RNA". It matches the Rfam family "Bacterial small subunit ribosomal RNA", at positions 29 to 507 of the family's 1533-position model. The record is from RNAcentral.
AACGAACGCUGGCGGCAUGCCUAACACAUGCAAGUCGAACGAGACCUUCGGGUCUAGUGGCGCACGGGUGCGUAACGCGUGGGAACCUGCCCUUAGGUUCGGAAUAACUCCCCGAAAGGGGUGCUAAUACCGGAUAAUGUCUUCGGACCAAAGAUUUAUCGCCUUUGGAUGGGCCCGCGUUGGAUUAGCUAGUUGGUAGGGUAAAAGCGUACCAAGGCGACGAUCCAUAGCUGGUCUGAGAGGAUGAUCAGCCACACUGGGACUGAGACACGGCCCAGACUUCUACGGGAGGCAGCAGUGGGGAAUAUUGGACAAUGGGCGAAAGCCUGAUCCAGCAAUGCCGCGUGAGUGAUGAAGGCCUUAGGGUUGUAAAGCUCUUUUACCCGGGAUGAUAAUGACAGUACCGGGAGAAUAAGCUCCGGCUAACUCCGUG